CCUACGGGUGGCUGCAGUGGGGAAUAUUGGGCAAUGGGGGAAACCCUGACCCAGCAACGCCGCGUGAGUGAAGAAGGAUUUCGGUUUGUAAAGCUCUAUCAGCAGGGAAGAGCAUGACAGUGUCUGACUAAAAUACCCCAGCUAUCUACGUGCCAGCAGCCGCGGUAAUACGGAGGGGGCAAGCGCUCUCCGGAUUUACUGGGUGUAAAGGGGGCGUGGCCGGGAGGGCAAGUCAGAUGUGAAAUCCCGGGGCUCAACCGCGGGACUGCUUUUGAAACUGUGUUGCUCGAGGACAGGAGAGGUAAUCGGAAUUCCUAGUGUAGCGGUGAAAUGCGUAGAUAUAAGGAGGAACACCAGUGGCGAAGGCGGCUGACUGGACGGUAACUGACGUUGAGGCGCGAAAGCGUGGGGAGCAAACAGGAUUAGAUACCCGGGUAGUC
RNAcentral lists this ribosomal RNA (440 nucleotides) under uncultured bacterium. RNAcentral's name for it is "partial 16S ribosomal RNA". It matches the Rfam family "Bacterial small subunit ribosomal RNA", at positions 338 to 795 of the family's 1533-position model. The record is from RNAcentral.